ACCGUGCAAAGGUAGCAUAAUCAUUAGUUUUUUUAUUGGAAGCUGGAAUGAAGGGUUUGACGAGAAAGAGACUGUCUUAAUCUAAUUAUUUGAAUUUUAUUUUUGAGUGAGAAAGCUUAAAUAGUUUUGAGGGACGAGAAGACCCUAUAGAAUUUAAUAGUUUAUAUAUUUUAAAAUUUUGGUUUAUGUUAAUUGAUGUAAAUUUAAAUUAAUUUGUUGGGGUGAUAGGGAAAUUUGAAUAACUUUCUUUUGUAUUUUUCAUUAAUAAGUGAUUAUUUGAUCCAUUAGUAGUGAUUAUAAGAAAAAAUUACCUUAGGGAUAACAGCGUUAUUAAUCUGGAGAGUUCAAAUCGAGAGAUUAGAUU
This 364-nucleotide ribosomal RNA is filed under the name Lucanus maculifemoratus. RNAcentral's name for it is "partial 16S ribosomal RNA". The record is from RNAcentral. Lineage: Eukaryota; Metazoa; Arthropoda; Insecta; Coleoptera; Lucanidae.